RNAcentral lists this long non-coding RNA (3560 nucleotides) under Carica papaya (papaya). Its description in RNAcentral is "long non-coding RNA (CPAP_LNC011911)". Lineage: Eukaryota; Viridiplantae; Streptophyta; Magnoliopsida; Brassicales; Caricaceae. The record is from RNAcentral.
GAAUCAAAAUCUACCUGAUUAAACAAAUACAAUAUUUGGAAACUGAUUUUUCAGAAUUGCUGCUGGAUGCUGAUCAGUUCCCAUUAUAGUGCAGGAAUUUGAAGGACAUAUACUUAUUUGUAUCUCAACAAUCUCGACUCUUCUGAUCCUGCAUAUAAAGUGUAGGGAAUUAGAAGGAAAGCUUUAAGAUAUAAAUAUUUGAAGUUGGAUAUUUCCUCACAGCUUUAAAUUUUUGAGAGAAUUUCUUUUACUGGGUGCUUGAGUGUGAAAGUUUUAUUUUGUGGCUUUCAUAUUUGUAAUUAAUUAUUUACAAUUUUAAACAUAAUUAUAUAAAUUUUUAUAAAUAAUUAUUUGUUAUAUAUAAGCAAAAGAGAUGGAGGAGAUUGACUAAAGGAAUUCUUAAAGUUGGAUAUAUUAUUGCUCACUAAUAUAAUUAGCCAACUUUCAAUACUGGAUCGUUGUAUUAAUUAAUUUAAUUGGUAACAACAUUAAUUAAUAAUAAUCUCUAAAAACUAAGUAAUUUAAAAGUACAGUUUAUUGAGGAUAAAUUAAAUCUUCUUUCUUUUAAUUACUAUUUUUUUUAAAAAAAAAAAAAAAAAACAUUUAAUUUUUUUGUACACAGGUAUAAAUGUAAUGGUUAAAUAUAGGACAGGUAUAAAUAUGAUGGGAACCAACCCUUGGAUUUUACACGCCAGGCUCAAGUACAGUUUGUACGUAUUUGAUAUUUAAUUUCUUUAGGUGCGCAUUCCACCACCACAUUAAUUUAUGUGUGAAUUUCAUUUGUCAUUCAUUGUAAUUUUUUGAAUAAAUUUAUGUGUUUUAUGAAUUUGUAAUUUGUAUAUAUUCUGUUUGUUCAAUUGAGUCUGAACUACAUUAAAUGGGUUCUGAUUAAAUGUGACUGGUUCGAUGUUUAGUAUGUAGUUCUGAUCUAAUCAAGAGCUCUAUGUUUUAUAAACAAUGUGAAUUCUAUCAUGAUUAAAAAAUAUUAAGAUAUUUUUAUUUAAUUUUAAGAUAUAUUUUUUUUUUAACAUCUCUCUUAAUUUUGGUAUCUUUUAAAACCUCUGAUUAUGUCAAUAUUAUUAUUCUCGAAAAAGAAAAUUGUAUGUAAUCUUUUGAUGUUUUUAUUACAUUAUGUAAAGACAAGUUAUAAGAAAGUUGUUGGAUUUUAAAUCUAAUUGCAACUCGGUUAUAAUUCAAAGAAAUUGAAAUUCUUCUAUCCAAAUGACCCAAAAAAAAAAAUGCCUAAUUGUUAUGGUUUAGGUAUUGCAAAAUGUAAUUAGAUGCUAAACUUGUUUUUAUAAACUUAAUUAAAAGUUAUUAGAAAUCAUAAAGUUAUAAAUAAUAAAAAAUAUAUAUAUAUAUGGUGUAUGGUGCAUGAAUUCGUCUAACAAGGUGGACUGUCAUGGGCAGGCAAAGCUAGAUUUUUAAAUUUUUUGAUAAGUUCAAUUCAAUGAAGAAUAAAUUAAAUUAUUAAUUUAUACAUAUAUAUAUAUAUAUAUAUUAUACUACUGCUUUAAUUGUAGGUCCUAAUCGGUAAGUACAAGUAUUUUCACCAAUACGUAUAUACAUAUAUAGAUUUUGUUAAUAUGGUUUUCUUGAGGUCCUCCAUAAUUUAAACGUUUAAAGAUAUAUUGAUUGAACCCUAAGCUUCGUAUCUCAAUUGUCAUCAUGACAUUUCCCUCUCCAAAAAGCAAGACGACAAAUGCCACCGCCCCCAACCAGUGGUACUACGUCGUUUUACACCACAUCUCUCCCCACCCCCCAUAAUAACCUCAAAUCCAUUUGAUACAGACUUUGCAUGUACACAUUCUGUGAAAGCUUAUAAUACAUAUUCGUACUCACACGCGCAUAUAUAUAGCAACACCAACAAUGCAAACAAAAAAAGGAAUGGCAGGGAUAUUUUUACAUAUAGGACACCUUAUGAUUGUCUUCAUAUAUAUAUAUAUAUAUAUGUAUAUACAUGCACACGAAAGUUCGAGGAAACUGCUUGCUCAGUUGCAUCCCUAAUUAAACUUUCUGCAUGAUUGAUGUCUUAGGAUCAUAAUUAAGCAGGUAGCAAAGCUUGAUUCGAGUUUUAAGUUUCUAUUAUUAAUACUACGCCAAACGUUAUGUAUGUAUAUGUAGUAGUUGAUAUGCUGAGUAUAUGUUAUAUAUGUACAUAUACUAGUUGAUUUGCAAUUGCGGCAAAAAGUGAAAGAUGAUUAAUGCGACGUUGUUUCGUUAGGUUACUAAUUAUGGAGAUUAGAUGGUAAUUAGAGUGAAAAAGAUGAUUAGGUUUAGAGAAAGGGAUUAUGCAGAAGGAAACUUCGAGGAAGGCGAGUUGGGUUUGAUAACACAUGGUUGUGGGGGCAGAUUUUGGAUGAGUCUGCAACUGAUAGAAGAUGAGAACCAUUAUAGGAAACCUUUUUUGGAUUUGCAUUGGCCAAGAUUGAUGAAGACAAGUUUCUAUUUCUGUUUUUUUGGUUUCCUAAAAUCAUCAUCCUUUUGUUUAAUUAUAUUUUACAAGCACAUGCAUUGGUGAAAGUUACAUAGGUAGAGAGUGGCUUUUUUUGAAAUUAUUAUUUCAUAUUGUUAAUUACUGAUUUGUUAUAUUCAAAUUUAGAAGGAAAUGAAUGAGUUAAAUUAAUUAAGAAAGAAAAAAAUAAAAAAGCAAAAUGGUAUACCAAGAAUCACUACGGAAAUUUCUAAUUUUGUAAAUUUCCCAAAUUCAAAGUUUUAAAUUAAAAUUCUUUCGCCCUCUUUAAGUGUUUUAUACGGGAAUGAACUAAUUUUCUUUAUAGAUUUUAUAUUAAAAAUAUAUAAAAUUUAAAUAUGAAAAAAAAUUCCAACAAUUAAUGAUUCAUAUAAUCAAUCCAAAAUUCGGAGAUCAAUAAAUCAUCACGAACAUAAAUUUAAUUUAAUUAAUGUCUAUUAGAAUGAGAGAAGUUUAUAAGGUUCAUGGAGAAAAAAAUCCAAACAAUCAAUAAAUGAUUUAUAUAAUCCAUCCAAAACUCAGGAAAUCAAUGAUUCAUCACAAACACAAAUUAUUAUUCUUACUUGAAAAUAAUUACCGAGAAAGAUGGUUGUUCUUUAAAUUUGAAAAUUUUCGUGGGUUUUAGAUUUGAAGGGUAAAAUGUAAAAAAUAAAAAAUCCCAUUUUACAAUCCAUUAUACAUACAUAAAUACAUAUAUAUAUAUAUAUAUACAAAAUCACAGGGAUUACCAAGUGAGUUAGGCGGAUCUCCGCCAUAAGAAAAAAGAAAAAAAAAACAAAAAAAAAAAAACAGAAAACGAGAGACUUUCCAAUCGCCAAAAUGUUUAGUAUAGCUUCUCUGAAAAACAGAAUAAUAAUGAUAAUAGUAAAUAUAUAUAUAUAUGUAUGUAUUAUGGACUUCAAAGUUCAAACUUCAUCGAAAUACGUUAAGAACUUCAGAAGAAAUCCAACUUUAAGCAAUGGAAAGUACCUGGGGUAUCCAGAAUAAUCUUCUUCCUCAGAUAAAAUCAUUUAGAAAAAGUUUCAAGUAUAUAUACAUGUAUAUAUAUAUAUUAUCCAUGAAAGAUUUCGUGCCUGAUAUAUAUUUG